Molecule: non-coding RNA, 3493 nt
Organism: Lolium perenne
Lineage: Eukaryota; Viridiplantae; Streptophyta; Magnoliopsida; Poales; Poaceae
Source: RefSeq, a predicted model, not a curated record
UUCUCUCACGGGCAGUUGGACUCGAGGAUUAUAGGUCCCUGCAAGUGAGCAUGUAAUGAACACAUCCUUGCUCGUGUUUGGGCGCUUCUCAGGGCACUUUGGCUUCCCGACCGUCCGAUCAUGACUCGGAGCGACUCUCACCCUUAGGAUUUGUUACCGAGUGUGCUGUUAUAAAACUAGGGUAGAAAUCCUUCAACGCGUAAUUCCCGUCGCAGCUGCUGCAUCACCUCUCGCGUUGCCUGUGUCAUUCCCAAUUUGCUCUCGUUCCACCGCUCCUCCUCAUCCUCGGCACUCCCUUGCACCUUCUCCUCCCGCUGUUUCGCCUCUCCCUCCCCUCUUAUAGUCCUAUGCCUGCUAUUCGUGCUGUUCCACCUCUCACUCCUGCUCAGUGCUCUCCCAGGCCUUCUCGUUCCACUGUGUGGAGCUCUGGCGGCACAACAAAUGGAAGAACGAGAUGCUAUCUUAGUAUUUGUUGACUUUUCCUCACAUGCCUCUAAGUUGUGCAUCUGUUCUUCCUUCCAACUGGCAAGGUUCUCAUGGGAGAAUAGACGGUGGCCCCCGACACCAAAUAUGUCAUGUACAUACCAUGGCUGAAAAAAAAUCUUUGCAAGCUUCCUCUGGUUAGCACAGUCUCCUUCUCUGUGAACCUUAUUGAAUCUUUGGUUAGUUGCUGUUAAGUAAUUAAUUCGUGUUCCAGCUGGUUUAUCUGUUGCAUUGUGUUGUAGUACUAUUGUUUGUGCGACUAAUAGAUUGUGUUCAUACCUUUUAUUUCUCCAAGUGUAUUAUUUUGUGUCUUCUUGAUAGCUAUCAUUGUUACUAUGAUUGGUGAGUUUGUUUGGUUCCAAGAUGAGCUCGGUUUGCUGUUUUUAAAAGGCUAUAUAACCUUCCUGGGUGUUUCCUUUUUGUUCUUGCAUUGUUUCAUCACUUUCCUUCUAUUAUGGUAUGCCCCUCUUGGAUUCCCUUUAUGUGCCCAUACGUGCAUUAAUCUUCGUAGCAGGGUCCAAAUGAUUCACCCAAAGGAAGUACAACUACCCUAUGAUUUUGUUGGCCUAUACAGCUUUAGUAAUUUUGUAUUUUUUUUGCAUGGCAACAAUAUUCUUCAGGAAUUUAAGGUAAUAAAACUGCUUUUGAGUACCCAACAUUAAUAUGUCUUGUUCGGUGUUUAAUAGAAAAUCAUUAUGUAAUGUGGUAGUAGCCUCUCGAAUUUAUUUGAUGGGAUCAUAUGCCGUUGUGAUUUUGAGGAUGCAUUGUGUGAUGUCAUACUUCUUUUGAAGAGAAGAGGUAUUCUUUGAUAUCUUUUGACAAUUAAUAUUUCUCCCAUUCCCAGACACCUCCUUAAAUCUGUUUUCCGAAACAGUUUUUUUCUUGAGCAUCUCAGUUGUAGCAAAUAAAUUUGUAUUGGGAAUUUUUAUAUGAUGUGAUUGCUUAAAGAUCCCCUGAAAAAUGUGCUCCCCUUACUAAUUAAAAGAGCAAGGGUUAUUUCAAGUAUUACUUAAUAUGUAUGUUUCCUACCUUGGCGCUACGUGUAAAACAUAUGAGGAGAUUUCAGAUACUCUAUUGAGGCUCUAGCUUUACGAGAUGCCUGUGCCCUUGCAGCUGACCGAGGUUAUAACAGGGUGAUCUUCGAGGGGAUGAUCGUUCGAUUAUCAAACCUAUCUUAGAUGAGAUUAGCGAGCUAGAAAGUUUAUUUUCUUAUUCUAAUACCGUGUUUGCCCGCCAUGAAACUAACCAGGCGACCCACUGUUGCGCAAAGUAUGCGGCGAUAGAUGGAGGGUUGUUUACUUGGGAUAUUGAGCCACCGGCAUUUUGAGUUCACAGCCUAGAGGCUGAUUGUAACCCUGUUUUGAUUAACUAAUAAAGCAUGCGGUUUCCCUCAAAAGAAGUUUAGAAUCUGGUGGCCUUGCGGUUGCUUAGUUGCUUCUGAUUCAUUGGGGAAGAAUGAUGAUUGGGUCUAUCUGCUGAUAACAGGUUGCUUCUUCCAUGCUGCACGUUCGAAGGCGUCAUUGUUUUUCUUGGCUGUUUGUUUAUUUAGACCAAGAUUGUCGCUGGUUAACAGUUGAGCAUUAGAUUUUGUUUUCUGUGUCUCUGAGAAGGAUGCAUGCUUGGGUUGGAUUAAGGUUACAGGAACAUGACACAUCAGCCAUAAUAGAUGUUACUACCUAUUCUCAUUCAGGCUCCACCGUUGCCGUCUCGGAGCCGCCCUCGCGCAGAUGCCGAUGUUGCGCAGCUGCCGCCGCUGUCCGCGGGCUCUGGCGCCGUUUGGGAGGGCCCUGGGUGGCGGCAACCGUGGUUGGAGAAGAUGCGAGAGGAGGAGGGAGGGAGAGCUCCGCCGGCCGCCCCGCACCUUCGCCACCGCCGGAUUCGCCCAAGUCCGUCCUCCUCGCGCGAGGUCGUUCUUGGGUUGGCGCUGGGUAGGUGGUGGAGGAGCAGCGAUGGGCUUCGGGCAGCGCUGGCCUUGAGGAGGAGCCGGUCACACAUGGGCCCUCCUCCGAGCUGUGGCGGGUCUCUCCGAUGGCGUGAGUACGACGGCUCGUGGGAGGCGGGGCCCUGGUGGCCAGUGGUGCUUGGCCACGGGCUCUUGCCGCCGGUGGUGCACGCCGCUAGGUCGUUGAGGGGAGCCGGCACAGGGAGCCCUUGGGGUCGCGCAUCCUCCACCUCCUCGGUACCUGCUCACCCUGGUGAGCAGCGCGAGGAGGGCCGCCCCAGGAACCCCGGAAGGAUGGCCAUGGCGCCGCUCGAUGGAUCUACGCCUUGUUGCUCAUCCAUCCUAUCUACCUCUCCGCUCAGGAUGCUAGAUUUUUUUUUACUAAUAGUCUCUUGCAACUUGUGUGAAUUUGGCAGUGGGCUGUUUCGACCUCCUGUUGGGUGAUGCCGCACUCACGCUCGAGAACCUCGGGUUCUUUAAUGUUAUGAUUGGCACGGUUGUCUGGAUUUGUAAGUGGUGAACAAGAGAAAAGUUACUAUCUCACUUGAAGACAAUGGAUUACUGCUGGUGUAUAUAUGUAAAAUUAGUUACUGGUGGUCUUACUUUCAGAUCGCAAAGUUUGUCCGAAUCAGACUGGAAAAGAAUUGCUUGGAGAUUCUUGGGUAUUGUGGUCCUGUGAUUUUUUAAUAUGCUCAGACACUGUGAGUAGCUAAAUGGUUCCUUGCCUUCUGUUAAAAUAGUGUUGUUUCUGUGGAGCACGUAAAAGAGGAGUCCUAUUUUUGGUUCAGGUUUCUUGCCAAUAAUUAUCCUUUUGGCUGCAUUGUGUUCUUCCGGCAACUAUGUUAAUUGCUCUGAGGUUAAACUCUCUCAUUAUCUACCACGCCUUUCUAAACAUGUGUUGUUGUUAGCUUCAGGUAAAUCUUCUCCCAGUUCUGUUGUAUAGACCAGGUGCCAAUGUACAAAGUUGUAUGAUUAAAUUCCCCCUUGCAGGUUAAACUCUCUCAUUAUCUACCACGCCUUUCUAAACAUGUGUUGUUGCUAGCUUCAGGGUUCUGAUUCGUGCGUAAC